This 253-nucleotide unclassified non-coding RNA is filed under the name uncultured Bacillaceae bacterium. Its description in RNAcentral is "contains 16S-23S intergenic spacer region". It matches the Rfam family "Bacterial small subunit ribosomal RNA", at positions 524 to 776 of the family's 1533-position model. The record is from RNAcentral. Lineage: Bacteria; Bacillati; Bacillota; Bacilli; Caryophanales; Bacillaceae.
UACGUAGGGGGCAAGCGUUGUCCGGAAUUAUUGGGCGUAAAGGGCGUGUAGGCGGUUUCUUAAGUCUGAUGUGAAAGCCCACAGCUUAACUGUGGAGGGUCAUUGGAAACUGGGGAACUUGAGUGCAGAAGAGGAGAGUGGAAUUCCACGUGUAGCGGUGAAAUGCGUAGAUAUGUGGAGGAACACCAGUGGCGAAGGCGACUCUCUGGUCUGUAACUGACGCUGAGGCGCGAAAGCGUGGGGAGCAAACAGG